CCCUUAGAUGUUCUGGGCCGCACACGCGCUACGCUGGCAGGUUCAUCGAGCUUCAUGCCCUGAUCUGAGAAGAACGGGAAAUCUUUGAACACCUGCCGUGCUUGGGAUAGAUGUUUGCAAUUAUUCAUCUUCAACGAGGAUUGCCUUGUAAGCGCACGUCAUCAGCGUGCAUUGAAUACGACCCUGUAUUCUGUACACACCGCCCGUCGCUCCUACCGAUUGAAGUUUUCGGUGAAUUUACUGGAGAUCCCUUUUGAAGGUGGUUCGCCACUGGAAGAAGUAUUCAAAAGUAAAUGAAUCGAAUGCUUUAGAGGAAGGAGAAGUCGUAACA
This 331-nucleotide ribosomal RNA is filed under the name uncultured eukaryote. Its description in RNAcentral is "partial 18S ribosomal RNA". It matches the Rfam family "Eukaryotic small subunit ribosomal RNA", at positions 1470 to 1796 of the family's 1831-position model. The record is from RNAcentral.